This 228-nucleotide unclassified non-coding RNA is filed under the name Hevea brasiliensis (rubber tree). The record is from RNAcentral. Lineage: Eukaryota; Viridiplantae; Streptophyta; Magnoliopsida; Malpighiales; Euphorbiaceae.
UGGCCUUCUAGGCCAGCCUACCUGUUACACAUAUUCAAUUGUUUUAAGUAUUUAAGUCCAUCACCAUAUCAUACCUCAGUUAGUCAAGCUUUAAUAGACAAGCAAUCAACCUGGAGUGAAGUAAAGAGGAUUCCAAUUUCAAUUAGAUGACAAAAAUAACUAACAGAACCUAGAGAAAAAUAUUCAUCAGCAAAGAUGAAUCUAUUAAAAGAGUUUUUAAAAAAUUAG